RNAcentral lists this ribosomal RNA (255 nucleotides) under uncultured bacterium. RNAcentral's name for it is "partial 16S ribosomal RNA". It matches the Rfam family "Bacterial small subunit ribosomal RNA", at positions 524 to 777 of the family's 1533-position model. The record is from RNAcentral.
UACGAAGGGGGCUAGCGUUGCUCGGAAUCACUGGGCGUAAAGGGCGCGUAGGCGGCGUUUUUAAGUCGGGGGUGAAAGCCUGUGGCUCAACCACAGAAUGGCCUUCGAUACUGGGACGCUUGAGUAUGGUAGAGGUUGGUGGAACUGCGAGUGUAGAGGUGAAAUUCGUAGAUAUUCGCAAGAACACCGGUGGCGAAGGCGGCCAACUGGCCCGAUACUGACGCUGAGGCACGAAAGCGUGGGGAGCAAACAGGA